Non-coding RNA from Microcebus murinus (gray mouse lemur), 1767 nucleotides. Lineage: Eukaryota; Metazoa; Chordata; Mammalia; Primates; Cheirogaleidae. The record is from RefSeq and is a predicted model, not a curated record.
CAACCUCAAACUCCUAGGCUAAAGAGAUCCUCCUGCCUCAGCCUCCUGAGUAGCUGCAACCCUCUUUGCUAUUCAAAACAUAUGCAGCAGUGGCAUCACACAAAAACAAGAGGACUCCUCUUUUUCUUUUUAAUAACAGCUGCAGGGAAGAGUCGGGUUGCCUGAGAGGGUUUGGUCAAGUUGCCUGGAUUUGACGGGGGGCCCAUCCUCGGCCGCCUCCUCUCUUAGGAGCAGAGGUCGGAGGAGAAGGAGGGAACACAGAGGGUGGAGGGGGAGUCCCCAGUCUGUCCUUCACCCCAUGUUGCCCCAGUCACCCCAUCCUUUGAGUUCCUGAGCGUCUUUCAGGCCUCUCUCUGUCCCCAGCUCUCUGGGCCUUGCCCCACGGGACAGAAUUCACGCUCACGUUGUUCGAAAGGAGCAGCGAGGAGCUGCGGCAAGCAUCCGCCACCGCACGGUGGCAUCCAGCGGGUAGGUGGGGUGGCCAGGAAGGGGCCUGGCCAGAGCAACUCUCCACCGAGGAAGGAUGUCGGUGGGCUGUGCUCACAGGUCCUCCCUCCUCAGCCUUGUCCUGGGAGGCCACCCGGCAGCCAGUGGGUCCUCCAGGCUGCCACCAGGGAGCCAAGGACCCCUUGCUGCCCCCAGCUGGACCCCCCCCCCAGCACCUCUGCCUCACCCUCCUGCAGCACCAUUCUCUCCCGCUCUGGACCCUGUGUCACUGCUGCUCUGGGGGCCGGAGGCUUGGUCCCCGGCUCCAGCACGGCCCUUUCCUGGGGCUGGCGGGCUUUACUCGUUCUCCGCACCGCACUUUUUCACAGACCUGGGGCCGUGUAAGUCCACUCCGGUGGAGGUGCCACGACCGCCCCACCGGCCUUUGUGAAUUUUGGACCCAGAGUGUGGCAGGGUCUGCUGGGGGGGGGCGCCGCCCCUCUCCAGUGUAGACCCCUCGUAUUUGGGGAGGGCCGUGGGGGCCUGUCUGCAUUCAGAGCCGUCCUCACGGGAGCUCCCAAGCCUUGGCCUCAUUGUUGGUCGUGUUUGCUUCUGAGCGUCUGCCCUGUAUGCAUCACACCUUCGUGAUUAAUGUCUGUCUCUCUCCCUCUCUCUCCUGCGAGGCUGAGAAAUCCCUCCGGGGCAAGGAUCGUGCCUGACUUGUCUUCAUUAGCCCGCACCUAGCACCAGCACCUCCCAAGUGUCUACGGAAUGAAUGAAUGGACACCUUUCUUCCCUGGCCUCUUCACAGCACAGGGGCCCGGUUUGGGCGCUUCACGCUUUGGGAUCUAAGUGCUGGGGUGCGAAUCCAUUGACUGAAUUCUCUCACUCGUCUCUGCAUAACACUCAUGAGGAUGAUGACGGUGACGAUAGCUGGCACCUGCUCCUUCGCCAAGCGUCCCCGCUCUACACGCUUUGCUUUUCGAUAUCCACCGCGAUGGCGAGAGGCAGGAACUGUUGCCCCCAUUUCGCAGAUGUACGAGCUGCUGAUACGCUCAACUGCUUCCCAUUAUGGUGAUUAUCGGCCAUUCGGGCUGGAGCCACUGAGUCCUUUUCUCUCUCCACUUCAAUCACCUGAGCGCGGAUCCCCGAGUACAAAGAACCAGCCUCCGGCUCGCUGGCUCUGGCACCUGCGAUUGCCCGGAAACCUAGCAACGGGGAGCUGGCAGGGCCGGCUGGGGCUCCCGCGAGGUGCGGAGCGGGAAGCGGGUGUCGGGACGGUGAAACAGGAGCAGGGGAGGUGGCCCACGGUGACUUAUCAGGCGCUCGUCUCCCGAUGGC